UGGAUCCAGACUUUGAUCAUGGCUCAGGACGAACGCUGGCGGCAUGCCUAACACAUGCAAGUCGAACGGAGUUAUCUAUUUGGAUCCCUUCGGGGUGACGGAUUUUUACCUUAGUGGCGGACGGGUGAGUAACGCGUGAGGAACCUGCCUUUCAGAGGGGGAUAACGUCUGGAAACGGACGCUAAUACCGCAUAACAUAAUGCUGUGGCAUCACAGGAUUAUCAAAGGAGCAAUCCGCUGGAAGAUGGCCUCGCGUCUGAUUAGAUAGUUGGCGGGGUAACGGCCCACCAAGUCGACGAUCAGUAGCCGGACUGAGAGGUUGAACGGCCACAUUGGGACUGAGACACGGCCCAGACUCCUACGGGAGGCAGCAGUGGGGGAUAUUGCACAAUGGGCGAAAGCCUGAUGCAGCAAUGCCGCGUGAGGGAAGAAGGUUUUCGGAUUGUAAACCUCUGUCCCUGAUGACGAAGACAGUGACGGUAAUCAGGGAGGAAGCCACGGCUAACUACGUGCCAGCAGCCGCGGUAAUACGUAGGUGGCAAGCGUCGUCCGGAAUUACUGGGUGUAAAGGGAGCGCAGGCGGGAAGGCAAGUCAGCGGUUAAAACUAUGGGCUCAACCCAUAGACUGCCGUUGAAACUGUUUUUCUUGAGUGAAGUAGAGGCAGGCGGAAUUCCGAGUGUAGCGGUGAAAUGCGUAGAUAUUCGGAGGAACACCAGUGGCGAAGGCGGCCUGCUGGGCUUUUACUGACGCUGAGGCUCGAAAGUGUGGGGAGCAAACAGGAUUAGAUACCCUGGUAGUCCACACCGUAAACGAUGAUUGCUAGGUGUGGGGGGUCUGACCCCCUCCGUGCCGGAGUUAACACAAUAAGCAAUCCACCUGGGGAGUACGGCCGCAAGGUUGCAACUCAAAGGAAUUGACGGA
RNAcentral lists this ribosomal RNA (922 nucleotides) under uncultured Bacillota bacterium. Its description in RNAcentral is "bacterial SSU rRNA". It matches the Rfam family "Bacterial small subunit ribosomal RNA", at positions 1 to 917 of the family's 1533-position model. Lineage: Bacteria; Bacillati; Bacillota. The record is from RNAcentral.